Long non-coding RNA from Lagopus leucura (white-tailed ptarmigan), 1638 nucleotides. RefSeq lists it as uncharacterized. The record is from RefSeq and is a predicted model, not a curated record. The transcript is spliced from 2 exons. Lineage: Eukaryota; Metazoa; Chordata; Aves; Galliformes; Phasianidae.
UCUGAGGAGCGGGGAAAGGGCGGGCGGGUUGCAGAGGGCGCGAGGCGUCGGAGGCGAUCGGGGACUCAGGGGAUGGAAUCAGGGCCUGGCUGGUAGGGAUGAGUGCGUGGAGGAGAUGGGUGGCUUGAGGAGGGGGUCGGGUUAAGAUAGGCCUAGGGGCCCUUGGAGGGCUGCUGCGGGGUUCUGAGGCAGGGUUUUCCUCCGCCUGGUGCUGGGCCUUCCUGGCACUUCAGCUUAUGGUUACUGUAUCUUACAUGCAAAGCAGCUUUCGCCUCUUAGCUGUAACAGCAAGCACUGCGGAGGAGACAGAAGAUGCUGCUCCUGUGGAUGAGUAACACAUAAGCCAGCUCCUUCUACCUGCUGCACUCCUGUGUGCGAGGUGGAGUUUUAAGUUUGAAGCCAAGGGAGCAGCAGUAAAAGGCGCAGCAAUAAAAGGGGUCUUUGUGUGCAGCAGGAGAUACAUGCUGAUUGAGCAGCAGUGUUCAGGAAGAAGAAAUGGAGAGCUUUUCCUUCUCCAUUUCUCAUUCGGCUUUGUCACACAUGCAGCUGAACACACAAGCUAUGAAGGAGUGAAAGCCAGCACACUGAUGGCACCAAGUACCACCUCUACAGCACUGCUCUGUCAGGGAGUUGAGUAUAAAUAACUUUGGGUUAUUUAUUUAUUAAAUAAAAGUUAUUUAUUUGCGUUGAGUAUAAGCAGGUAGACCUACAGUUAUAUACAGAAGGAAAAGUCAACUCACCCAGCCAGUGGAGGGGCUCUCUGGCUGUGCAGCACUCCUCAAACAGCAGUCUAAGUCCAAAGGAUGUUCUCCUUUCUCUAGCUAGCUCCAACAUGUGCUACUUCUGGGUUCACCCCUUCCCGUUACGUGGGGAGAUGUAAUUUGUGCUUCCUGUGUCAGCCACAACCCUUCCUUAUGUCUUCAGUCCAGCCUUGGACUGACGUGGUGUUUUGUUUUUGUUUGUUCUUCUUUCUUUCUUCUUUUCUAGAAGCAAACAAGCAUCUGGAACUAGAACUUUUUCUGUGCUAUUUUCUGAUCUGGGAGCAGAUUUCUCGUUGAAUGGAAACGGAUUUGCCCAAAGCAAUGAUGAGUGAAGUAUUCUCUGAACUGGUAUUGCUGAGACUUUUAGUCUUUGCUCUGACCAGGGCAUGAUCACGUAAUCUUCUCUCUGAGCUUAUUUAGGCUAAACUCUUCUAGAGCAAACAACUUUGCUGCUGCUUGAAAUCCAAAAAAAUAGUUUUGGUGCCAGCUUUAUGUUCGUUUCUCUCUGCUUGUGGAAAAGGAAGCUUCUAUGGGGGAUGUAUCCAGGAGUACAGUUACAGUGAUUCCCUUCUGAGGACAAAUCACGUUGUUUCUGAUGAGGAAGAAUGGAAGGCAACUCAAUUGUUAGUGCUUUUUUUUUCUUUCUUUCUUUGUCUAGAUUUGCUCAGAACGUGGCUUAGCUUUGCUGGGUGUUCUAAAAAAGAUUUGCAAAUCAAAUUCUGACAACGACGUGCUGUGCAACUCCAGUGCCACUGUUAACGUUGAUGUAAUUGUAUUAAUAAUACCAUGCACUGAGGAUACUUUGGUUGUGACCAUAGACCUCAGUUAAUAUGUAAACUCCAAGGUUGGUUUAAUAAAGCUGGUGGUCCUUUACAAA